Molecule: ribosomal RNA, 467 nt
Filed under: uncultured bacterium
Lineage: Bacteria
Description: partial 16S ribosomal RNA
Rfam family: Bacterial small subunit ribosomal RNA
Source: RNAcentral
ACGCACGCUGGCGGCGUGCUUAACACAUGCAAGUCGAACGGAAAGGCCCUGCUUUUGUGGGGUGCUCGAGUGGCGAACGGGUGAGUAACACGUGAGUAACCUGCCCUUGACUUUGGGAUAACUUCAGGAAACUGGGGCUAAUACUGGAUAGGAGCUCCUGCUGCAUGGUGGGGGUUGGAAAGUUUCGGCGGUUGGGGAUGGACUGGCGGCUUAUCAGUUUGUUGGUGGGGUAGUGGCUUACCAAGGCUUUGACGGGUAGCCGGCCUGAGAGGGUGACCGGCCACAUUAGGACUGAGAUACGGCCCAGACUCCAACGGGAGGCAGCAGUGGGGAAUAUUGCACAAUGGGCGGAAGCCUGAUGCAGCAACGCCGCGUGCGGGAUGACGGCCUUCGGGUUGUAAACCGCUUUCGCCUUUGACGAAGCGUGAGUGACGGUAAUGGGUAAAGAAGCACCGGCUAACUACGUG